Molecule: ribosomal RNA, 250 nt
Filed under: uncultured prokaryote
Description: partial 16S ribosomal RNA
Rfam family: Bacterial small subunit ribosomal RNA
Source: RNAcentral
UACGGAGGAUGCGAGCGUUAUUCGGAUUUAUUGGGUUUAAAGGGUGCGUAGGCGGAGGAUCAAGUCAGCUGUGAAAUGUAGACGCUCAACGUGUGCACUGCAGUUGAAACUGGUUCCCUUGAGUGCGUAAGAGGCAGGCGGAAUUCGUCGUGUAGCGGUGAAAUGCUUAGAUAUGACGAAGAACUCCGAUCGCGAAGGCAGCUUGCUGGGCCGCAACUGACGCUGAAGCUCGAAGGUGCGGGUAUCGAAC